UAGGGAAUCUUGCGCAAUGGAGGAAACUCUGACGCAGCGACGCCGCGUGAGUGAUGAAGGCUUUCGGGUCGUAAAGCUCUGUUCUUAGGGAACAAGUCCUGAGGGUACCUAAGAAGAAAGGACCGGCUAACUUCGUGCCAGCAGCCGCGGUAAUACGAGGGGUCCUAGCGUUGUUCGGAAUCAUUGGGCGUAAAGCGGGUGCAGGCGGCCUGGUAAGUCAGAAGUGAAAGCCCCGGGCUUAACCUGGGAAGUGCUUUUGAUACUGCUUGGCUUGAGUGUGGAAGAGGGUAGUAGAAUUCCUGGUGUAGUGGUGAAAUACGUAGAUAUCAGGAGGAAUACCGGUGGAGAAGUCGGCUACCUGGUCCAACACUGACGCUCAGACCCGAAAGCGUGGGGAGCAAACA
Molecule: ribosomal RNA, 404 nt
Filed under: uncultured bacterium
Lineage: Bacteria
Description: bacterial SSU rRNA
Rfam family: Bacterial small subunit ribosomal RNA
Source: RNAcentral